UUUCACUCUAGUAGAUCUAUGAUUGUCGUGAAAAAAAUUUGUUCAUUGGAAUAUCAUCAAAAGUGUGAUCUACGAAUUGCUCUUUUUGUUGACUUCUAGCAUAAUCUUCAACGACCGUGAUUUCCUUGAUUAAGGACAAGAUUAUUGGCUUCUUGUUUUAAAAAGAAUAACACCAAGUUUGGAUUUGGUAGCUGUAGAAACGGUGAGAAUUGUACCUAUGCUCAUGGGGUUGAAUAGAUAAGGCAGCCACCACCAAACUGGAAGGAGCUUUUCAGUCCUCAUGCUAAAGACUAAUUGCAGUUAGCCAAGAAUUGGAAUGAUGACGAAAAAAUCAUUCACAAUAUUAAGCUUUGCAAGAAGUAUUAAAAUGAUGAGGAGUGUCCUUAUUGUGAUAAGUGCAUCUUUCAUCAUGAGAGUCCUGCUAAAUUUAUGGAUGACUUUUGGAAAACAAGAGACUCUUAUGCAGUCAACAUUGAAAUUUAUUGGUGAUAAAGGAAGCUAUGGUUAAUCUAGUUAUAAUUUUGUUCCAAAAAAUUAUGAAUGCAACCUAUAAUAUUUUCUCUCUAAUGUGAUUCUUAUGUAUACAACAAAUACU
Lathyrus oleraceus (garden pea) is the source of this 595-nucleotide long non-coding RNA. RefSeq lists it as uncharacterized. The record is from RefSeq and is a predicted model, not a curated record. The transcript has 3 exons. Lineage: Eukaryota; Viridiplantae; Streptophyta; Magnoliopsida; Fabales; Fabaceae.